RNAcentral lists this ribosomal RNA (484 nucleotides) under uncultured bacterium. Its description in RNAcentral is "partial 16S ribosomal RNA". It matches the Rfam family "Bacterial small subunit ribosomal RNA", at positions 30 to 507 of the family's 1533-position model. The record is from RNAcentral.
AUUGAACGCUGGCGGCAUGCUUUACACAUGCAAGUCGAACGGCAGCGCGGGCUUCGGCCUGGCGGCGAGUGGCGAACGGGUGAGUAAUACAUCGGAACGUGCCCAGUAGUGGGGGAUAGCUCGGCGAAAGCCGGAUUAAUCCCGCAUCCGACCUGAGGUUGAAACCGGGGGUUCUUCGGACCUCGCUCUAUUGGAGCGCCCGAUGGCAGAUUAGCUAGUUGGUGGGGUAAAGGCCUACCAAGGCGACGAUCUGUAGCUGGUCUGAGAGGACGACCAGCCACACUGGGACUGAGACACGGCCCAGACUCCUACGGGAGGCAGCAGUGGGGAAUUUUGGACAAUGGGCGAAAGCCUGAUCCAGCAAUGCCGCGUGUGUGAUGAAGGCCUUCGGGUUGUAAAGCACUUUUGGCGGGAACGAAAAGGACUGUGCCAAUACCACGGUUCGAUGACGGUACCCGCAGAAUAAGCACCGGCUAACUACGUG